Molecule: transfer RNA, 70 nt
Filed under: Serratia rubidaea
Lineage: Bacteria; Pseudomonadati; Pseudomonadota; Gammaproteobacteria; Enterobacterales; Yersiniaceae
Description: tRNA-Pro(ggg)
Source: RNAcentral
CAGCUUUAUCGCGGUGACGGUGGGGGUGCUGGGAGCGCCCUGGGUGCUGUUCAGCCCGCAGGAGCUGGCC